RNAcentral lists this transfer RNA (90 nucleotides) under Leifsonia shinshuensis. Its description in RNAcentral is "tRNA-Val". It matches the Rfam family "transfer-messenger RNA", at positions 283 to 374 of the family's 374-position model. Rfam says of the family: Bacterial tmRNA, also known as 10Sa RNA or SsrA, is named for its dual tRNA and mRNA-like properties. Its role is to liberate the mRNA from a stalled ribosome. Lineage: Bacteria; Bacillati; Actinomycetota; Actinomycetes; Micrococcales; Microbacteriaceae. The record is from RNAcentral.
GGGGCUGAGAAAGCGACUUCACUGGCUACGCCCGUAGAAGGCACAUGACCACAGCAGUGGACGGGGGUUCGAUUCCCCCCAUCUCCACCA